AGUGAACGCUGGCGGCAUGCCUAACACAUGCAAGUCGAACGGCAGCAUCGUAUCUGCUGGCUCUUAGGUGUGGCGAGUGGCGGACGGGUGACGUAUACAUGGAAAUCUACUCUUUCGGGGGGGAUAACGUCGGAAAACGUACUCUAACCCCACAUACGACCUACGUGGAAGAGCAGGGGAUCUUCGCACCAUGCGCUAGUGAAUGAGCCUAUGUAGGAUUAGCUAGUUGGCGGGUUAAAGGCCCACCAAGGCGACGAUGCGUAGCUGGUCUGAGAGGAAGAUCCGCCACACUGGAACUGAGACACGUCCCAGACUCCUACGGGAGGCAGCAGUCGGGAAUCUUGGACAAUGGGCGAAAGCCUGAUCCAGCAAUACCGCGUGGGUGAAGAAGGCCUUCGGGUUGUAAAGCGCUUUUGUCCGGAAAGAAAAGCAGCUGGUUAAUACCUGGCGGUAAUGACGGUACCGGAAGAAUAAGCACCGGCUAACUUCGUG
Molecule: ribosomal RNA, 492 nt
Filed under: uncultured bacterium
Lineage: Bacteria
Description: partial 16S ribosomal RNA
Rfam family: Bacterial small subunit ribosomal RNA
Source: RNAcentral